UGCACCACUGUACUCCAGCAAAGCACUGGGAUUACAGAUGUGAGCCACCACGAUGGGCACAGACAGACUUUGUCCGCCCCUAGAGCUAAGGGGGUCGGUCAGUCCAAAAGCUUCCAAGGGGUAGGUCAGAGCUGCUGACCCCUGCUUUUUUCUGCUUUUUCCCCCAGGGACACCACAUCAUUUGAAGCAUUCUUUCAAUCCAAGGCAUCGAAUUCUUGGACAGGAAAGGGCCAGGCCUGCCGACACCUGCUUCACCUGGCCAUUCAGCGGCACCCCCACUUCCGUGG
RNAcentral lists this long non-coding RNA (287 nucleotides) under Homo sapiens (human). Its description in RNAcentral is "non-protein coding lnc-ST6GALNAC2-2:2". Lineage: Eukaryota; Metazoa; Chordata; Mammalia; Primates; Hominidae. The record is from RNAcentral.